This 347-nucleotide RNase P RNA is filed under the name Alphaproteobacteria bacterium GWA2_41_27. RNAcentral describes it as "RNase P RNA component class A". It matches the Rfam family "Bacterial RNase P class A". Rfam says of the family: Ribonuclease P (RNase P) is a ubiquitous endoribonuclease, found in archaea, bacteria and eukarya as well as chloroplasts and mitochondria. Its best characterised activity is the generation of mature 5'-ends of tRNAs by cleaving the 5'-leader elements of precursor-tRNAs. The record is from RNAcentral. Lineage: Bacteria; Pseudomonadati; Pseudomonadota; Alphaproteobacteria. RNAcentral also lists the same sequence under 8 other names.
ACAGAUGGCCGGAGAGGUGCUGCUUUGGCAGAGGAAAGUCCGGGCUCUCUAUAGGCACGGUGCCGGAUAACGUCCGGCGAGGGUAACCUUAGGGAAAGUGCAACAGAAAGCAAACCGCCUGGAAACGGGUAAGGGUGAAAGGGUGUGGUAAGAGCGCACCGCGCCUUUGGUAACAAAGGUGGCACGGCAAACCCCACCGAGAGCAAGACCAAAUAGGAAUGAUACAUAAUCGGUCUAUAGGUUGUCAUUCGGGUCGGUCGCACGAGGCGUAGGGUAACUUACGUCCUAGAUGAAUACCUCUCCCCUUCUUUAAGGGACAGAACCCGGCUUACAGGCCAUCUGUUUAU